RNAcentral lists this unclassified non-coding RNA (336 nucleotides) under fungal sp. Its description in RNAcentral is "partial internal transcribed spacer region". The stretch from base 1 to 46 matches the Rfam family "Eukaryotic small subunit ribosomal RNA", at positions 1786 to 1831 of the family's 1831-position model. Lineage: Eukaryota; Fungi. The record is from RNAcentral.
AAGUCGUAACAAGGUUUCCGUAGGUGAACCUGCGGAAGGAUCAUUAACACGUAUCCAAACGUAAAAAACCCCCCCCGUGAACAUUCAAUCCUGCUCUUGUAACCCGCGUAGUUCGCAAUCUCUGGUAAAUCAUAGCCCGGAAAGUAGUUUUGAUUCAGAGACCUCUGGCUACGUGAGAACAUUGGAACAGUUAUUCCUGUAGACCGUACACUCGGGCAGGAGCUAUGCCAAAGGGUCCCCAUGCCCCCUUAUAACCCCACAGUUUAAUGUGAAGCUCAAUGUAAUAUAUUGGGUAAAAAAACCGAACAACUGUUAACAAUGGAUAUCUUGGUUCUC